This 680-nucleotide long non-coding RNA is filed under the name Mus musculus (house mouse). Its description in RNAcentral is "long non-coding RNA chr11:75590960-75591640". The record is from RNAcentral. Lineage: Eukaryota; Metazoa; Chordata; Mammalia; Rodentia; Muridae.
UGCAUAGGAAGGAUGCUAUAUAUACUCAUGCCUUCCUAAGCAAGCAUACAGGGUGCAGAGGGCAGGUUCCAGCAAGACUCUGAGAACCGGGAAUCUUCGCUUUGCCUCUUGCUUAUUUAUUUUUUUAUUUUAUUUCUUUAUUUUGACCCAGGGUCUCUCUGUGUAACCCUGGCUGACCUGGAACUCACUUUGUAGACCAGAUUGGCCUUAGAUCUGCCUGCCUCUGCCUCCUGAGUUCUGGGAUUAAAGGUGUGCCCCCACUGCCUGUCUCCACUUUUUGUUUUUUGUGGGGUUUUUUGUGUUUUUGUUUUGUUUUGUUUUGAUUUGAUUUUAAAGAAAGAAGGAAGCAGGGUCUUGCCAUGCAACUCUCUCUGGUUUGCCUGGUACUUGCUACGUAGAACAGGCUGACCUCAAACUGACAGACUACCUGCCUCUGCCUCCUCAGUGCUUAGUGGCUUGGCUUUUGAGUUGAGUCAAGGCCUUUCUUUAGUUCUCUGACCUCAAAAGCAUUGCACCGGGGGUCACCUAUGGGUCUACUACAAAUGCAAGCCACCUGGAGAAGUGCCUCUACUUCACUUGGCUCUCUGGAGUUCUGUGACCCUCUUGAGGACUUUGCUGGCUACAAUUUCUCCAUCAGCUUAUGUGACUCAUCCAACAAUUUGGAGGUGGUCAAAAUGGAG